GCUUUGUCAACAGUAUAUACAUGCCAAAUUGCGGUAAAAUAAUUGCGUAUGCAUUAUAUAUUUUCCUAAAUAAUAUUUGUUUAAUAUUGUACCAAUUUUCCGUUUUUCACAUUUAUUGGGAAAAUCAAAAAAAGACCCCCCCCCCUCAACUAGAUGACAUUAGCUUUCCGAAAAAAUACUGUACCAUACUCUAUACAUCGCGGAGCAAGAUUUCUUACCGAAAAG
Molecule: non-coding RNA, 225 nt
Organism: Cinara cedri
Lineage: Eukaryota; Metazoa; Arthropoda; Insecta; Hemiptera; Aphididae
Source: the annotation of a GenBank genome assembly